RNAcentral lists this ribosomal RNA (592 nucleotides) under uncultured marine eukaryote. Its description in RNAcentral is "SSU rRNA". It matches the Rfam family "Eukaryotic small subunit ribosomal RNA", at positions 1 to 598 of the family's 1831-position model. The record is from RNAcentral.
UACCUGGUUGAUCCUGCCAGUAGUCAUAUGCUUGUCUUAAGGAUUAAGCCAUGCAAGUCUAAGUAUAAGUUAUUAACAGCGAAACUGCGAAUGGCUCAUUAAAACAGUUAUAGUUUAUUUGAUAAUCAUUAGAUGGAUAACUUUAGGAAAUCUAGAGCUAAUACAUGCCUAAACGCCGGAUGUAUUUAUUUACUGAAGGCCGUAUUUAUUAGAUAUAAACCAAUCGGAACCCCUUCCGUUUUGACGAUUCAUAAUAACUUCUCUGACCGAGCCUUCGGGUGAGGUAGAUCAUUCAAGUUUCUGCCCUAUCAGCUUUAGAUGGUAGUGUAUUGGACUACCAUGGCGAUCACGGGUAACGGAGAAUUAGGGUUCGAUUCCGGAGAGGGAGCCUGAGAAACGGCUACCACAUCUACGGAAGGCAGCAGGCGCGUAAAUUACCCAAUCCUGACUCAGGGAGGUAGUGACAAGAAAUAUCGAAUCGGGUGUCUUUGACAUUGCGAGUUUGAAAUGAGAACAAUCUAAAAAACUUAUCGAGGAGCAAUUGGAGGGCAAGUCUGGUGCCAGCAGCCGCGGUAAUUCCAGCUCCGAUAGC